This 433-nucleotide ribosomal RNA is filed under the name uncultured bacterium. RNAcentral describes it as "partial 16S ribosomal RNA". It matches the Rfam family "Bacterial small subunit ribosomal RNA", at positions 29 to 507 of the family's 1533-position model. The record is from RNAcentral.
AACGAACGCUGGCGGCAUGCCUAACACAUGCAAGUCGAACGAGACCUUCGGGUCUAGUGGCGCACGUGUGCGUAACGCGUGGGAACCUGCCCUUAGGUUCGGAAUAACUCCCCGAAAGGUGUGCUAAUACCGGUUAAUGUCUUCCGACCAAAGAUUUAUCGCCUUUGGAUGGGCCCGCGUUGGAUUAGCUAGUUGGUAGGGUAAAAGCCUACCAAGGCGACGAUCCAUAGCUGGUCUGAGAGGAUGAUCAGCCACACUGGGACUGAGACACGGCCCAGACUCCUACGGGAGGCAGCAGUGGGGAAUAUUGGACAAUGGGCGAAAGCCUGAUCCAGCAAUGCCGCGUGAGUGAUGAAGGCCUUAGGGUUGUAAAGCUCUUUUACCCGGGAUGAGAAUGACAGUACCGGGAGAAUAAGCUCCGGCUAACUCCGUG